GGGUAAGUCCUACACGACCAGCUCCCCCCGAACUCCGUCAGGUCUUGAUCGAAGCAGCGGUAGGGGGUCGUAGCGGUGCGAUGUAGUAAGCUUACCCUUU
This 100-nucleotide signal recognition particle RNA is filed under the name Porphyromonadaceae bacterium. Its description in RNAcentral is "signal recognition particle sRNA small type". It matches the Rfam family "Bacteroidales small SRP". From Rfam's summary of the family: The non-coding component of the signal recognition particle in Bacteroides The record is from RNAcentral. Lineage: Bacteria; Pseudomonadati; Bacteroidota; Bacteroidia; Bacteroidales; Porphyromonadaceae. RNAcentral also lists the same sequence under 2 other names.